UAGAUAGAUAGAUAGAUGAUAGAUAUGUUACCUGUUUAGGGAAACUAUAGGCUUAGCAAUGAUGAGAGUUAAGAUGAAUGGAAUAAAGAUUUUUAGACAAUAAAAAUGCUCUCGGAGUGCCAUCUGGAACUUUGCAUCUUGUUUACGUUCACUAAACCCAUGUCUAGAUUUUAGAAAAUUCUCCUAUUAUGAUUGUUAAAAAUAAAGAUUUUUAGAAAAAAUCAAAAGUGCUGUAAAUUACCGCACACAAAUGUAAAGCAUACACUUAGUCUGUGAGCGGUGAGACGCGCGUUGGAGCCUGCAUUGACAUUUCACUGGGAGGGUGUUUUAACAUUUUAUAUUCUAUCUGAAUCAUCAAAGAAAGUUUUGUGUUUCAUGUCCUUUUAAGUCAGUGUGUAUGAAGUAAUUCCUAUGACUAAGUGCCACACGGCACGAAACGCGUAAGGACACGCCCCCUAUUUCCUCCAUUGCAAUCGUGUGUUUGUGUAUCGUUAUGUACCUGCUGGAUUAAAUAUCAGUUUUUUGCUGAUAUUAAGAGUGCUGCUUUUUUCUUUCAUUUGUGCAUUUUGGGAUUGCUUGUUCCCUUUUUUCUGAAGCCUGCACCUUUCGUUCACCUCAUGCUCUUAUCAAGACACUUUGCUGGAGUUUUGUUUACCCCGGUGUAAACAGACCGGUGAUUGAGAAGCGCUCCCUGUUUAGUUCACCUGUAGCCACGCCUCCCCUGUCUUUCUGUCUGUAUGAAGUAAUGUUUGACUGUAAAUCUUGAGAACAAUCGUUCUAAUGUGACUUUACACACUGGGUCUGAUUAUCAAAAACUCGUUGACAAGAAAAAUAAUCUCAUAAAAUCUUUGGAGGCUUAUUUGAGCAUUAUUUUGCAAUGCAACUGUCUUUUCUUCACAUCUGGAAACCUGUAUACCAGAGUUUGUCAAACCUGCCCGCAGGCCCCCCUAACAGGCCAGGUUUUCAGGAUCUCUGAACUGGAGCACAGGUGAAAUAAAUAGCUGAUUAGUAAACAGGGUUUUUAACCUCUCACCCAAUGUAAUCCAGAAAAUUUGGCCUGUUAGUAAGGCCUGAGGACAGUUAUGAAAAAAAUCCUGUUGUAUAGUGAGCUAAACAGAUCUCAAGCUAAAAUCUGCCUUUAUAAAGUUUAAAAGACUUCAGAGUGUUGAAGAGACUUUAGAUAAUCUCACAAAAGCAGAAAGCUUUAGGUAAUUGCUCCCCUGAGUGAUUCUAUGUUGUUUUUAACAUAUAUUCUGAACACAUUUUUAAGAAGAGUAUUAUGUAUGCUGCCGUUUUAUGUAUAGAGCACUUAUCUUUGAGCUAAAUGUGAAUACGAGUACAGUCCAUGUGGGGAGGUUUGUUUCGAGUUUACUCUGCAGUUUCUCACUAUGGGCGAAUGAUCUGAACGUCUCUGGGCUGGCGAGAUUAUUUAAGAAUUCUCACCAGCACUUCUAUUUCCCUGGUAGAAUUCUAUAAAGUCAGUUUUUACCCUAAAAACAGGGUGUCUCGCUAAACGGCGUACACUAGAUUUUCGUAUGGGAAGGAGAUGCAUACAUUACAAAAGUGUACAAUGAAAAUUUGUAUUUUAAAAAUUAUACAAAACGAAUAAUUGAACCAUUCACUCAAAUAUAUACAGCAAAAAGCCUGUAGCUAAGGUGCAUCAAAGAUCAUAACAAAAGGCUUCACAAAAAAUCAUAUCUUAUCAAAAACGUAAUAUUUGUAUGUAAAUUACACAGGAAUAAGUCAUAUUAAAUAUGCACAGUGUAAAUCAUAAUUUAUGUACACUGGAUGUGCAAAAAGCAUGUAGGAAUUCGUACUUAUAAUUACAAAAUACAAAACGCAAAUGUUUUUUUGUAAAAUGGGCUGAACAUUGGCGUAUAUGAAAACACGUGCAUAUGAAAAUAAAGGCGAUUGUAAGAUGAUAUACGCAGAAAGCAACAUAAUGUGAUUUAUAUUGGCUGCAAGAUUUACUCUGUUCCUGCUACCAACCCCUGCUCACUGCUAACCGCUAUACAGAGCGAAGUGUCCCUAUCCAGCGAGCUCAAUUACUUUCAACAGGAGACAUCUCGCCACAUGCAGGGACUGCCCCUUCUUUACAAUAAUUCCACCAGGGGAGCCCCUGCGAGGGUUGGUAUAUAUAAAAAAUAUAUAAAUCUGGUGUUGCAAGUUUUUUUUGCACUCCUUACCACCAUCCCCCAACCCUCCCAGUUCAGGUAUUUACAUUGAGAACUAGAGAGAUAAACCUCAUUUGGUACCUUGUGAUCUAUCAGACAGUGUUUCCAUAUAGAUAAAAUUAAAGAGAUUAACAGCUCUGGUAUCAAUAGGAUGAUGCUCCUGCCGAUAAUCAUACUUUUAGCUGUUUCCCCUGUCAGGUCCCAGUCUUCAAGCCUUUCAUCAUUGGUCUGCUCAAUAAGCAACUUGCUAGUUUCAGCAUUACAACUCAGCGAGCAAAUCAGCAGUGGGAUAUCUGUUACUGAACCGACACAGACCAAUGAUACGACAGCAUCUUAUACUUACAACAAUAACCAAAGUCAACCAACCAGUACCCAACUGACAUCUUCUAGCCCAAAUAAAAGUACCCUGUCAGUAAAUACCAGUAUCCCAGUGAACAACUCCAGUACAGGAACCAGUAACCUGUCAGGACAAACCAACGUCUCAGUUACCAAAUUCAGUACCUUAUUCCAACCAACAGGAAACAACUUCAUAACUUUAUGUGAGUUAAGUCAUAAUCUGUCAAAGUAAAUAAAAGCUUAACCUAGGUUACAACAUGGCAGCACAUAUUACUUUAUCUAAUAGUUCUCAUAUGUGCUCUGAGCUCCCUCAAACAUUUUUAUAAAAGCAAUUUAUUUCCUUUACAGUUUUUAUUUAUUUUUUGCAAUAUACAAGACGCUCACCAAAAAAUAUAUGUUUUUACCAGUUCAUCAUACAUACUGUAUAUGCAUUCAAGAAAAGUUCUAUGGGGGUCUUGGGGGAUACUGUGUUCCUUCAGACACACAUGUAGCACCCCCCUUGAGCUGCAAGGGGCUUUAUAUAUUAUGUGUGCUGUCUUUCAACUUUUUCAACACUUUUUUAGCCCCAUCCAAAUAUUAAAGGGACAGUCUAGUCAAAAUUAAACUUCCAUUAUUCAGAUUGGGCAUGCAAUUUUAAACAACUUUACAAAUUACUUUUAUCAUCAAAUUUGCUUUGUUCUCUUUUUAUAAUCUUUGUUGAAAGCUAAACCUAGGUAAGAGAUAAGAGGUGGCCUUGUACGGCUAAUUUCUAAGCCGUACAAGUCCGCCUCUUAUCUCAGUGCAUUUUGACAGUUUUUCACAGCUAGAAAGCACUAGUUCAUGUGUGCCAUAUAGAUAACAUUGUGCUCACUCCCUUGGAGUUACCUAGGAGUCAGCAAUGAUUGGCUAAAAUCAAGCAUGUAAAAAUAACUAAAAUAAGUGGCAGUCUGCAUAGGCUUAGAUACAUGGUAAUCCCAGAAGUUAAACUGUUAGUUCUUUAAUUAAUAGAAUAUCACCAUAAAUAUUAUCUCUGCGGUGUACUCCAGUCAUGUUUUAUGUAUAUAUAUAUAUAUAUAGAUAGAGAGAGAGAGAGAGAGAGAGAAUUCAUUGCGGAUAGAAUUCCAAAAUUCCAAAGGAGGAAGCCCCGUCUCUCCUGAUGACGAGGGGGUGAAACGCGCAUCGGCAAUUGGCUGACCGACCCAUGUGAUCUCCAUGCUUGUUUGGAUAGCGGAGCGGCGCAACUUUGAAAAGCGGAUCUAACUUCAAGGCUGUUUUUUGCAUCAAUAUAUGCGGCUAUGACUGAUGCCCUGCGGAUUAAGUGGAUAACAAGAAGGAUAAAAAGCAUGUAAGCAUCUUAGGAUGGCAGUACAAGAAGACGUAAGCACACAGGACAAUCUGAUCAUAACGUCCUGGUAAGGAAGAUCCUGACGAUAUCACUGAAGUCUGCAAUAAAGGUGCAGUUGACAGAGGGGUACUUUUAUACUUACAUUAUUGUACCCUCCUGUACCUUUUCUAUAACUCAUUGACUCCACUGUUUUGCUACCUCUACAACUUGCUCAAAAGUCGUCAGCUGUGCUUUUCCACUGUUGGCAUAAACAUCUUUUACCUUUGAUUCAUCUUGCUUUGCUGGCAAUUAACUAUCUAAAAUCCUGCCGCAUAUUCAAAUGUACUGGCUUUACUUUGACACUUUAACAACCUCUGCUUUAUGACAGUCUCAAAAGACUUUGGAAUUCUAUCCGCAAUGAAUUGUCUCUGAACGAACUGUCCAAAUAAGUUGUUUGACAACUGGAAUAUAUUUAAAUCUUGCAUGAGAUGUACUUGCAUUGUAACAUUGUCUUUUUUAGUAGUGGUUAACAUAUAUCGUCCUUUGCUAUUUAGCAACAUUGUGCACUUUAUGGUCUACACUAGUGAUGUUGCGAACCUAAAAAAAAGUUCGCGAACGGGCGAACUGGGCAAACCGCCAUAGACUUCAAUAGGCAGGCGAAUUUUAAAACCCACAGGGACUCUUUCUGGCCACAAUAGUGAUGGAAAAGUUGUUUCAAGGGGACUAACACCUGGACUGUGGCAUGCCGGAGGGGGAUCCAUGGCUAAACUCCCAUGGAAAAUUACAUAGUUGAUGCAGAGUCUGGUUUUAAUCCAUAAAGGGCAUAAAUCACCUAACAUUCCUAAAUUGUUUGGAAUAACGUGCUUUAAAAAUCAGGUAUGAUGUUGUAUCGAUCAGGUAGUGUAAGGGUUACACCCGCUUCACAGUGCGCAGUGUAAGUGAUAUACCUACCCUGUGACCAUGCUUUGCAGGCCAGGUAUCAGUGGUCAGAUGGACCAUUGCCCCAACACUGUGUGCCAGACAUGCCAUUAUAGCAGACUUAUAUGGCUUUGGCGUUGCUUUUUGGUAAUUAGAAGGCUGCUAAAUGCCGCUGCGCACCACACGUGUUUUAUGCCCAGCAGUGAAGGGGUUAAUUAGGGAGUAUGUAGGCAGCUUGUAGAGUUAAUUUUAGCUUCAGUGUAGUGUAGUAGACAACCCAAAGUAUUGAUCUAGGCCCAUUUUGGUAUAUUUCAUGCCACUAUUUCACCGCCAAAUACGAUCAAAUAAAAAAAAUUUUUUCACUUUUUCACAAACUUUAGGUUUCACAGAAAUUAUUUACAAACAGCUUAUGCAAUUAUGGCAUAAAUGGUUGUAAAUGCUUCUCUGGGAUCCCCUUUGUUCAGAAAUAGCAGACUUAUAUGUCUUUGGCAUUGCUUUUGGUAAUUAGAAGGCUGCUAAAUGCCACUGCGCACCACACGUGUUUUAUGCCCAGCAGUGAAGGAGUUAAUUAGGGAGUAUGUAGGCAGCUUGUAGAGUUAAUUUUAGCUUAAGUGUAGUGUAGUAGACAACCCAAAGUAUUGAUCUAGGCCCAUUUUGGUAUAUUUCAUGCCACCAUUUCACCGCCAAAUGCGAUCAAAUAAAAAAAAAUUGUUCACUUUUUCACAAACUUUAGGUUUCACAGAAAUUAUUUACAAACAACUUAUGCAAUUAUGGCAUAAAUGGUUGUAAAUGCUUCUCUGGGAUCCCCUUUGUUCAGAAAUAGCAGACUUAUAUGGCUUUGGCGUUGCUUUCUGGUAAUUAGAAGGCUGCUAAAUGCCACUGCGCACCACACGUGUUUUAUGCCCAGCAGUGAAGGGGUUAAUUAUGGAGCAUGUAGGUAGCUUGUAGAGUUAAUUUUAGCUUAAGUGUAAUGUAGUAGACAACCCAAAGUAUUGAUCUAGGCCCAUUUUGGUAUAUUUCAUGCCACCAUUUCACCGCCAAAUGCGAUCAAAUAAAAAAAAAUUGUUCACUUUUUCACAAACUUUAGGUUUCACAGAAAUUAUUUACAAACAACUUAUGCAAUUAUGGCAUAAAUGGUUGUAAAUGCUUCUCUGGGAUCCCCUUUGUUCAGAAAUAGCAGACUUAUAUGGCUUUGGCGUUGCUUUUUGGUAAUUAGAAGGCUGCUAAAUGCCACUGCGCACCACACGUGUUUUAUGCCCAGCAGUGAAGGGGUUAAUUAGGGAGCAUGUAGGUAGCUUGUAGAGUUAAUUUUAGCUUAAGUGUAGUGUAGUAGACAACCCAAAGUAUUGAUCUAGGCCUAUUUUGGUAUAUUUAAUGCCACCAUUUCACCGCCAAAUGCGAUCAAAUUUAAAAAAAACUUAAAUUUUUUCGCAAUUUUAGGUUUCUCACUGAUAUUAUUUACAAACAGCUUGUGAAAUUAUGGCACAAAUGGUUGUAAAUGCUUCUCUGGGAUCCCCUUUGUUCAGAAAUAGCAGACAUAUAUGACUUUGGCGUUGCUUUCUGGUAAUUAGAAGGCCGCUAAAUGCUGCUGCGCAUCACACGUGUAUUAUGGCUAGCAGUGAAGGGGUUAAUUAGGUAGUUUGUAGGGAGCUUGCAGGGUUAAUUUUAGCUUUAGUGUAGAGAUCAGCCUCCCACCUGACACAUCAGUCCCCCUGAUCCCUCCCAAACAGCUCCCUUCCCUCCCCCACCCUACAAUUAUCCCCGCCAUCUUAAGUACUGGCAGAAAGUCUGCCAGUACUAAAAUAAAAGGUUUUUAAAAAAUUUUUAAUUUUUUUUAGCAUAUUUACAUAUGCUGUUGUGUAGCAUCCCCCAUUAGCCACCAACAUCCCUGAUCCCCCCCCAAAACAGCUCUCUAACCCUCCCCAUCUGCCUUAUUGGCGGCCAUCUUGGGUACUGGCAGCUGUCUGCUAUUAUUUCACAGUCAAAAAAGUGCUGUUGUUUUUUUAAAUGUACACUACUGUUACACCAGAUAUGAGUGGGGGCACUGGGCAAGUGGGCACAGUAUACGCUGUGAGCCUGACACACACGCUGGCAGGCAGGCAACUGCAAUUAUAUUACACAGGGGGAAAAAAAGCAGACUGAUGUUCUAGCCCUAAAAAGGGCUUUUUGGGGUGCUGUCCUUACAGCAGAGAUCUGAUGAGUCCUUCAGGACUGUAGUGGACACUGAAUACACUAGCCUAGCUAUCGAUUUCCCUAUUAAAUUAGCAGCAGCUACACUGUCCCUCCUCUCACUAAGAAUGCAGCUUCAAAAUGAAUCUAAAAUGGAUGCUGUGCAGGAGGUGGGAGGGUCUGGGAGGGAGGGUCUGCUGCUGAUUGGCUGUAAUGUGUCUUCUGACUGUGAGGUAGAGGGUCAAAGUUUACUCAAUGAUAAAGAAUAGGGGGCGGAUCGAACAUCGCAUAUGUUCGCCCGCCGCGGCGAACGCGAACUGGAACUAUUCGCCGGCGAACUAUUCGCGACAUCACUAGUCUACACUUUUGUGAUAUUUUAGGUGCCUAACUUGCUUGAGGUCAUGUCUAGGCAGUGACUGUUCUUAGGGUGAGGGUAACUCAGUUUUUUACUAAAACCAAUACAGGUCUGAUCACCCACUAAGUACAGUUUUCCUUUUCACUACCUUUGGCAGUUACCGCUACUGAUGUAUUAGCUAGCUCUCCAUUCAGUAUGGUUAAUCACAAGGGCCGGUCCUUUUUUAUAAACGAGAUAUCACUCUAGUUUUUUUCUUUUAUUAUGUAUGAAUUUUUGUUAUGUUUUUUGAUAUUUCCUGCCAGGGUUCUGUCUCAGGUCUGUGCCUAAUAAAUCCAUUACCUUUUGAUAUCAA
Bombina bombina (fire-bellied toad) is the source of this 7607-nucleotide long non-coding RNA. RefSeq lists it as uncharacterized. Lineage: Eukaryota; Metazoa; Chordata; Amphibia; Anura; Bombinatoridae. The transcript is spliced from 2 exons. The record is from RefSeq and is a predicted model, not a curated record.